Ornithodoros turicata is the source of this 338-nucleotide long non-coding RNA. RefSeq lists it as uncharacterized. The record is from RefSeq and is a predicted model, not a curated record. Lineage: Eukaryota; Metazoa; Arthropoda; Arachnida; Ixodida; Argasidae. The transcript has 4 exons.
UCCGUUGUACAGGGUAGCGUUUUGGAAAUACGCGGCCGGCAUCUCAUCAUAAUUUCUUUAUGUGUGUGUGUCUCAUUCUGUGAAACGCUUUGUACGAGAAGCCGUCGUGUGGCUGGAAAAAUGGAAACUGGGACUAGGCAACAACAGUGACUAAGUAAGACCCAUGCUUUGACGCAGCAUGCCAGCAGGCUUCUUCUUGGAGGUGUUGACCCUGGCGAAAACGAUUAUCCAGGCCACCCCAUGCAGCGUCAUUGCUGCUACUGCAAUCCGGACGCCCUUAGGGGUAUCAUUCGUGAUUGUCUGAUAGCCUGAUAGUCUGAUGAAGCAUUAUUAGAUUU